UCGCACAUCGUUCUGCGUUCGCUCUCCAAUCGGAGAUCUUUUGCAUCAUCGUCCAUCGUCCACCGAUUUUGUCUUCGCUAGUUUUUUCCUACUUGUCACCCAUCUAUUUUGCAUAGUUUCCUAAUUUCUAUGCUCCUUUCUGCACGUACAAUUCUUUUUUCUUUUUUCUUAUUGGUUCUGCGAAUAAUGGAAUCUAAGUUUUUUGUAAUAAUGUGCUUCAUAUAAAUGACGAAUAUCUUUUUAAAAAUCUAUCUGCUCUAUCAUGAAUUCGUAAGUGUGUAUUAUUCGUUGCCACGUAUAUUGGUAUGCGAGCGAAUUGUCGAGUGUUUGGUGACGUGUUAAAAUGCGGCCAUUUCCACCGGCCAUGAACGAGAUAGAGAGCGUGCUGCGUGAGAUAGAGAGUGAGAGAGAAACAGGGAGCAUAUGCGUGUGAGAGAAACAAAGAAAGAGCUUAAAAGACAUCGAUAUUUUAAAUAAGUUUAUAACUCCGAAUUUCGCAAAUUCAUCAUCAAACACAGCAUGUUUGCGAAAAAGACAGAUUUACGGAUUUCUCGAUAUUUUUAUCAAAAUCUGCUUUCUUUCAAUUCACUUCUUUUUCUUCUUCUUCUUGUUCUUCUUCUUCAUCAUCAUCUUUUUUCUUCUUCUUCUGCUUCUUUUAUCCUAGUUGAAGCAGCAUGAAUUCAGAGAUUGAAAAAAAGAACGAUUGCCGAUUGUCAUACGUUCAGGUGCUGGAGGGUUAAUUCGAUUGGGAUUUUUGUGGAAAGUUUUUCGUUACAUAUUUCUGGAAAUAGUGAAACGCGCAAUUAAAGGAAAAAUAAAUUAAAAAACGAUAAAAAGAAAAAAAUAACAAAAAUCAGAUUUCUUAGUAUCCGGGGUACAAAUCGCGUCGAGAAAAAAUUUGGAGUCGCGACUGUCACGCGUGCCGGCUAUUGCUAGUUCAGGCCCGCAUAUCAGUUAAUCUUGCAGUCUUUUGAUUUCAAUUCUUCAAGAAGAAUAGUGAUUCAACAGUUUUUUUGGUGAUGUCGACCGAUAUUCGAUAGAAGAAAUGGCGAUUGAUGUGGCGAAAAGAAAUGAGGAAACGUCACGUAACAGUGGUGCGCUGCCGGCUAACCUGUCGGUUAACCUCUUUCUCGCUGCUCACCGGAAGAGACGAACACGUGCACUUCAGUCAGAUUGUUAAUAGCUGACUCUUGGUCAACGAAGGGAACCAUCGGUAGCCGAAUAAACCUUGAAAAAAAAAAUCUACAACAGUAUUUGCAAGAAAAACUGAAACGUGACACAAACGUUCUUCCGCUGUAAAUGAUAAACGCGCAGUGUCUCUCAACUCGAAUACUUGUAUCAGUAAUAACGAAUAAACUUAAUUAAAGAAGACAAACGAGAAAUUCAUUUCACUGAUCGUAUUUACGCGAAUGUGUGUGUAUGUGUGUGUGUGUGUGUAUGCGCGUGCGUGUGCGUAGGCUUACGUGUAUAACAUUCAUCCAUUUCGUUAUUCGAAUUACCUAUCCUUUUAUGGUAUUUCUUUACCAUAACGUUAUGAUAUAUUUACGAUCAUUUGAAAACCUAAGAACGUUCUAUCUAGAUUUAAAAACAUUAAAAAAAAAAAAAAAUGUUUUACGACGGUCACCUCAACUGGCAUAUCGGCGACUGUAGGAACGCGCCGUUUAAAUUGAUCCUGUUCAACCUUGACUCGAUAGCUUUCAAGUUAUUUUCACGUUGCUUAAUGGGCUCGACCGAGGACGUCGGGCCUUUCGGUGUUCAUCACGCUCGAAACUCUCCGUUUUGCAGUUCACCGUGUACAGUUCGCAAGCGCGA
This 1812-nucleotide long non-coding RNA is filed under the name Apis dorsata (giant honeybee). RNAcentral's name for it is "uncharacterized LOC102681824". The record is from RNAcentral. Lineage: Eukaryota; Metazoa; Arthropoda; Insecta; Hymenoptera; Apidae.